RNAcentral lists this transfer RNA (67 nucleotides) under Planctomycetaceae bacterium. RNAcentral's name for it is "tRNA-Lys". It matches the Rfam family "tRNA". Rfam says of the family: Transfer RNA (tRNA) molecules are approximately 80 nucleotides in length. Their secondary structure includes four short double-helical elements and three loops (D, anti-codon, and T loops). Lineage: Bacteria; Pseudomonadati; Planctomycetota; Planctomycetia; Planctomycetales; Planctomycetaceae. The record is from RNAcentral.
GCUCCCAUUAUACCACUAGUGCGGACUUUUAAUCCGCAGGUCCCAGGUUCGAUCCCUGGUGGGGGCA